RNAcentral lists this long non-coding RNA (1254 nucleotides) under Nicotiana tabacum (common tobacco). RNAcentral describes it as "long non-coding RNA (NTAB_LNC013994)". Lineage: Eukaryota; Viridiplantae; Streptophyta; Magnoliopsida; Solanales; Solanaceae. The record is from RNAcentral.
GGUGCAGCAUGUUCAAGUUGUUCCUAUUGCUGAAAUACGUACAUUAAGAGUCUUAAAGGAUUACCUGGUAGCAAAAGAAUAAACAGUAGUUCAGCAACUAAAGCAGCAUAAAAACAACAGCAAAAAAGCAACAAAACCAGCAGCAAAUCCGUGUUAAAACAACCCGAAAACAUAGAGAGGGAACCUAGAAACGAACUCUAAAGAGGACUUAUACUUUUCUAAAAGUUUGCACUCUAAGACUCACUCCCAAAGCUCACCAUUUCAGCUUACUUUUCAUGUGUUCUUGUGACAAAGCAAUUGUAAAAAAUGCCCCCCGGAAGUGUGAUGGAAUCCCCUCUAUAUAUCAAAACAACCAGCUAUUUUAAAAAAUUAAAAAUCAAUCUUUUUGACAGAUUUUUCUACAAAAUUUGCUCUUAAAUUCAAAAAGCAAGACUUUCUAGUUCAAAUCUUGUCAAGUAUUUCAAACAAAAUCUGCUCUCCACUAUUCAAAGAUAGACUUUAUUCAAAUAAUGUCCAAAGGUCUACAUUUUCUUACCAAACAAUUUGACUUUUGAGUGUUGUACUCAAAGAGUCUUGAAGCAGUAAACAAACAACGAAACAAGUACCAUAUGCUCAUAAGUAUUUUUCAUUACCUCACUUUUAUCAAUACAAAACUAUUUUACUACUUCAACAAGUGCAAAAACAGAAAAUUUAACAUUUCAAACUUCAAAAACUAAUGCUAAAAUAAUUAAUAAUAGACAAAAAUAAAAUCUGAAAAUUAAAAAUAAAAAUAAAAAAAUCAGCCAUGAAAAAGAAUAGUAUUUUACCAUUUUUCACAUCAAAAGGCCGAAAAAAUGGUGGUAUGCCAAAGAGGGUGUUCCGGGAGGUCGCCGGAAUUAGGCCGGAUUUUGGUCGCCGGAUUUUUAGGGUAGAAUUGACAUCAAUAGCUAGGUCUUGAAGAGCUCUAUCCAUUGAUGUAGGUAUUUUGGGGUGGUAGUGGUUGGAGCUUCAAGAAUUUGGGCAACAAAGUGACGGGAAAGUUUCCUAGAUCUAAGAUUCAAGGAGUUUGAGGGAUUUUUUUUAGGAUUUGGUUUGGAAAUAUGGAAAGAGGAAGUUGUGGAGAAUACGUGGUGUGAAUUUGGAGGUGGUCCGCCGGCGACGGCGAUUUCCGGCAGGCGACGGUGGGCGGAGCUGGGGCGGCGUACAUAGAGUGCAGAGAGAGAGAAGAGAGAAGAAGGAGAGGGAAAGAAGAGAGAGGAAAUAAGGGGGAAAUGG